Molecule: ribosomal RNA, 254 nt
Filed under: uncultured bacterium
Lineage: Bacteria
Description: partial 16S ribosomal RNA
Rfam family: Bacterial small subunit ribosomal RNA
Source: RNAcentral
UACGGGGGGAGCAAGCGUUGUUCGGAUUUACUGGGCGUAAAGGGCGCGUAGGCGGUCGUGACAAGUCACUUGUGAAAUCUCCGGGCUUAACUCGGAACGGUCAAGUGAUACUGUCGGACUAGAGUACAGAAGGGGCAACUGGAAUUCUCGGUGUAGCGGUGAAAUGCGUAGAUAUCGAGAGGAACACCUGCGGCGAAGGCGGGUUGCUGGGCUGAUACUGACGCUGAGGCGCGAAAGCGUGGGUUGCAAACAGG